CGCUGGCGGCGUGCUUCAUACAUGCAAGUCGAACGAGAAGCUGACUUCGGUCAGUGGAAAGUGGCGGACGGGUGAGUAAUAUGUAGAGAAUCUGCCCUUGAGAGGGGGACAACAGUUGGAAACGACUGCUAAUACCCCAUAUGAGCGUAGCUGAAAUGCUAUUCUUGAAAACUCCGGUGCUCAAGGAUGAGUCUGCAUCUGAUUAGCUAGUUGGUGGUGUAAUGGACUACCAAGGCGACGAUCAGUAGCUGGUUUGAGAGGAUGAUCAGCCACAAUGGGACUGAGACACGGCCCAUACUCCUACGGGAGGCAGCAGUAGGGAAUUUUGCGCAAUGGGGGAAACCCUGACGCAGCAACGCCGCGUGAACGAGACGCCCUUCGGGGUGUAAAGUUUUGUCAGUGGGGACGAACAAAUGACGGUACCCACAGAGGAAGCACCGGCUAACUCCGUGCCAGCAGCAGC
This 463-nucleotide ribosomal RNA is filed under the name uncultured bacterium. RNAcentral describes it as "bacterial SSU rRNA". It matches the Rfam family "Bacterial small subunit ribosomal RNA", at positions 34 to 518 of the family's 1533-position model. The record is from RNAcentral.